CCUACGGGUGGCAGCAGUGAGGAAUAUUGGUCAAUGGGCGCGAGCCUGAACCAGCCAAGUCGCGUGAGGGAAGACGGCCCUACGGGUUGUAAACCUCUUUUGCCGGGGAGCAACGCGCGCCACGUGUGGCGCCCCUGAGAGUACCCGGAGAAAAAGCAUCGGCUAACUCCGUGCCAGCAGCCGCGGUAUUACGGGGGAUGCGAGGGUUUUCCGGAUUUAUUGGGUUUAACGGGUCGGUAGGCGGCGCGUUAAGUCAGUGGUCAAAUUGAGGGGCUCAACCCCUUCCCGCCAUUGAAACUGGCGCUCUUGAGUUGAAGAGAAGUAUGCGGAAUGCGUGGUGUAGCGGUGAAAUGCAUAGAUAUCACGCAGAACCCCGAUUGCGAAGGCAGCAUGCCGGCUUCCUACUGACGCUGAAGCACGAAAGCGUGGGGAUCGAACAGGAUUAGAUACCCCAGUAGUC
RNAcentral lists this ribosomal RNA (460 nucleotides) under uncultured bacterium. RNAcentral's name for it is "partial 16S ribosomal RNA". It matches the Rfam family "Bacterial small subunit ribosomal RNA", at positions 338 to 795 of the family's 1533-position model. The record is from RNAcentral.